GUUGUAUGGUUAAGUGACUAAGCGUACACGGUGGAUGCCUUGGCAGUCAGAGGCGAUGAAGGACGUAUUAACUUGCGAUAAGCCCAGAGAAGGUAGUAAAAACCGGUGACUCUGGGAUUUCCGAAUGGGGAAACCCACUUACAUAAGUAAGUAUCGUGUUGUGAAUACAUAGCAGCACGAGGCGAACCGGGGGAACUGAAACAUCUAAGUACCCCGAGGAAGAGAAAUCAACCGAGAUUCCGGUAGUAGCGGCGAGCGAAACCGGAUUAGCCCUUAAGCUAGUUUUGCGUUAGGUGAAAGUUCUGGAAAGUUCUGCGAUACAGGGUGAUAGCCCCGUAACCGACAACGCAUUAUCAGUGAAAACGAGUAGGACGGGACACGUGUUAUCUUGUCUGAAUAUGGGGGGACCAUCCUCCAAGGCUAAAUACUCCUGACUGACCGAUAGUGAACCAGUACCGUGAGGGAAAGGCGAAAAGAACCCCUGUGAGGGGAGUGAAAUAGAACCUGAAACCGUGUACGUACAAGCAGUAGGAGCCCACUUGUUGGGUGACUGCGUACCUUUUGUAUAAUGGGUCAGCGACUUAAUUUUAGUAGCAAGGUUAACCGUUUAGGGGAGCCGUAGGGAAACCGAGUCUUAACUGGGCGUCAUAGUUGCUAGGAUUAGACCCGAAACCGAGUGAUCUAGCCAUGGGCAGGUUGAAGGUGAGGUAACACUUACUGGAGGACCGAACCGACUAAUGUUGAAAAAUUAGCGGAUGACUUGUGGCUAGGGGUGAAAGGCCAAUCAAACUCGGAGAUAGCUGGUUCUCCCCGAAAGCUAUUUAGGUAGCGCCUCGGACGAAUACUACUGGGGGUAGAGCACUGUUAAGGCUAGGGGGUCAUCCCGACUUACCAACCCUUUGCAAACUCCGAAUACCAGUAAGUACUAUCCGGGAGACACACGGCGGGUGCUAACGUCCGUCGUGAAGAGGGAAACAACCCAGACCGCCAGCUAAGGUCCCAAAGUUAUAGCUAAGUGGGAAACGAUGUGGGAAGGCUCAGACAGCCAGGAUGUUGGCUUAGAAGCAGCCAUCAUUUAAAGAAAGCGUAAUAGCUCACUGGUCGAGUCGGCCUGCGCGGAAGAUUUAACGGGGCUAAGCUAUACACCGAAGCUGCGGCAAUGUGCUUUUGCA
This 1172-nucleotide ribosomal RNA is filed under the name Photobacterium leiognathi. RNAcentral describes it as "bacterial LSU rRNA". It matches the Rfam family "Bacterial large subunit ribosomal RNA", at positions 1 to 1221 of the family's 2925-position model. The record is from RNAcentral. Lineage: Bacteria; Pseudomonadati; Pseudomonadota; Gammaproteobacteria; Vibrionales; Vibrionaceae.